UUUUAAUCAAACAAGGUUGAAAGAGUAGCAGGUAUUUGGCUGGUAGAGAACAGAAAGCACUUUCCUCAGCUUAAAAACUGUAUGUGACUCUGUAUACUCACACAAGUAAAUAUGCAUUCAGGCAGAGAGUGUAUGUACUCCUUUCUCUCUCUCUCUCUCUGUUUAAGACUAAGCAGGCAAUUGCAUGCUGAGACAUUAACUUAAUCUACAUGCCUACUGAGUAAGACAUUAUUUCAUGAAUGACAUCACAAAGGUAGAAACGCUUCUGCCUUGCACAGGACUGGAUCAGUGCAUUUUAAGGAGGAGUCCGCUGAGGGCUUUAGAGAAAGAAAGCAACAUACCAGGAAAAUGGCUAGGGUUACUCUGAAAAAACUCUGACUGCAUUUUAUUUCCUGCAAGUUCUAACUCCUAUAAAGUGUGCCGAUGAAGAGCAAACCCAGGACCAAGCAACCACCUUUGUCAGGGAGUCUCAGCCAGCACAGGCCCUGGAAAAGAAGUCGACACCGCCUUCCCAGUCUUAUGUAAGGCACAGGUACACACACAGACGGAUGGCACUCCAGUGAGAGGAGCACCUAUUUGCAUUGCUAUGGAACCUGAGGCAUGAAAGACCCUCAGUAAGUAAGGCUGAUGGGGCUUCAGAUUUGCAGUCCUUUUAUUGACUCAAAAAUUACAAUUCUUGGUUGUGGUGGGCCACAGAAAAACAGCUGAGCAGCUAGAACUUGCAUCAAUAACAGCGUUUGCAAAAUUUGUUAUGAAGCAACUGGACUAGUCCCUGUGCAGAACUCGUGAAGCCACCUUCCCAAAAUGGAUCUGCUUAUCACCAGUGUUAUCAGCCUCUAGUGGGUGGGGGAACUAGAGCACAAAAGCACCAGCAUAUCAGGCUCAAAUGCAUAUAUAUUAAAAAAAAAAAAAAAAAAAAGCACACUAUAAACCAGAAGUAAAUCAGUUGGGGCAGGAAAUCCAUGCAGACUAAGCAGUCCAGUGAACAAGAAAAUGAACACCACCUGGUUUCUACUGCCUUGCCUGUCCAUACAGGUUUUCUGAAACUACUGCAGUGAUGGUGUAUAUAAAAUAUUUUCAGUAGGGGCACACAGGAAUAAUUCAAUGUCUCUUGCUUCUUGACUCAAGACACCUUUUCUUAUGCAGCUGGUAGGAACUUGAAGUCUUUGGCCAUCUCCACCCUCUGCCAAUAGCGAUUGAAACUGGCCAUAGGAAACCAAAGACAGAGCACAGCAGGUGAGACAGGGUUCUCAAAACCACUGUGCUACUGCAUUAGCAUCUGGACAAAGUACUACAUGGCAAUCAUAUCAACUUAAAAAACACUUUUUAUCUAAAAAAAUUACAUAGACUGCGAGCAGGCUGGGAUAACUACACUUAUAAACAUUCACUAGAAAAUAUAUCUUUACUUUUGCAUGAGAAGGAGCUUUGAACAUGCUAGUGUUAAUUUAAGGCCUUAUCCAAAAAGACUAAAACAUAUGCUUGCAUUUGGUGCUCUAAGUUUUCCCCUUGAUAUAAAGGUCCUUUACAAACACCAAAUGGGAAACCUCUGAUAAGUCAUUUAAAAGCAAAUAAAAGAUGUCAGUUUUGUAAAUCUUUUGAUUGAUGCUCUAUAAGGAACUGGAUUUUUUUUUUUAAGUUGGUCAAUUAGAAGCAUUCAAUAAGCAGUGUCCCUUCAGUCAAAUCUUAAAGCACAGAAAAAAACUGG
Cygnus olor (mute swan) is the source of this 1705-nucleotide long non-coding RNA. RefSeq lists it as uncharacterized. The record is from RefSeq and is a predicted model, not a curated record. The transcript has 3 exons. Lineage: Eukaryota; Metazoa; Chordata; Aves; Anseriformes; Anatidae.